AUCCUUAAGCAUGUCCCCCUUAUUCUUCUUAACUAACAGCUCUUAAUUAGUGGUCAGAGCCCUGAAUCUCUUCCACUUCAUUUGAUGGAGUCUUUCAAUCAUCAAUUUUAGAAAUUCCUUCGUCAAGGUAUUAUUUUCAGCAGUAACAAUAAACACUCGCCUAACCGAUCCAUAUUUUUUCCUUGUAAGAAUUAUCUCCUUAAAAGCAUUUUUCGCGUUGUAUAAAUAAAAUGACCUUACUAGUGUAGAAUAAGUCAGUUAAGAUGUAUUCUUCAUAAAUAGAUUGUAAUCAUCAGUUACAGAAAAUUUAUGAAAUAUACAGAUCACUUCCUCUCUUCUUCUCUCUGUUUCUCUCUUCUUCUAUUCAUCUCCAUUGAUUGAAUCCUCCAGUUCUCUCCUAGACAAUCUUUCGAUCCUCGAAUCUUUAGGAUUCCUGCAAUCGAACCACUAUUCAGUAAAAAUUUUCUUGGAACAAUGAUCCUAUAACUCAACCGGAGAUGCCUAACCGAUGUUGGAACAGGAAGCCGCACCAAGAUUUGUCCACUCACGCGUCUCCACGCGCACUUCGAACUGGGUUGCCUCACCAGCUUUGACGGCGCGUGUGAUUUACGCACUUCUCCUCUGGAAACCGGCUUCUGUAGAUCGGGGUCGUUCUUAGGUUGGUAGCAGCCGCUAAAUUUUCAGAUUCAAAAAAUUCACACACACUGACCCAAUCCCGCAAGCUUUCUGAGGUAACUCAGAAAAUUGUUACCAUUUAAAGAUAUGAAAACCUAGGUGAGAAAGAGAAUCGUCCGAGUCUAUAUAAGCAGACUGCAUGCCUAUUUAUUCCUAAUCAAUGUGAAACUUUAACCAAGUCUAACCAUCAUCAUUAUAGAGAGGCCAAUCAAGUUGCGGAUGGACUUGCUAAGGAAUCAACAAAAUUGAUUCUGGCCUGAAGCUAAGAAACACUUCAAGCUAGCUAGUUCAUGGAGCCUGAGCCUGAACCUGGUAAAAUAUUGUGGCAUCGAUGAGAUCUUUAGGGCUUCUCUUCCAGUUUGACAUCAUCUCAUCAAUACUACAAUCUUGUACCAUGACCAUGCUACAUGGCCCUGACAAGGUUGCAUUUGCAUAUUAGCAACAGAUGUUUUAUAACUACUAGACUUGUUUAGAAACUAGUUUUUCUCCAUAUCUACUAUUUCCCUUUUCGAUUGUUGAGUUUCCUUUAAUUUCAACUUGAAUGAUUUAAUUGUUGAGAAAAGUAGGAGCUUGUAUAUAUAUACGGUAUAAUUUUAGUAAAACACCCUUGGUGAGAUUUCUGGCUCCACCACUGCUGUUAAUCUUCUUAAUUAGCCAUCAAUCUUUGUUACCUAUUAUUCAUUAGCUGAUAGUACAAUUUUUCGAUCAGUACCAUUCAAUAUAACUUUGAAUAGUCCUAAUGACUAACAAUCAUUAUUCAGACGUAUAUGGCUGCUAUUGUCUGGUCGGUUAUAUAUGAUCAGACCUUAACCAUUCUGAGCAGAAGUUUUCUUGAUCAAUAUAUUUUCAAGUCCGUAAGUAAUUCUUCUUUGGCUGCAGAGAUCCACACAAAAUCCUCCUACAUAUUAUAGAGUGUUGGGUUUUCUUUCUUAAUGGAUCUUGUCGGUUUUUGUGCUCCUAGUUUUAUGAAACACAGUGUCAUUGACACGCCUCAAGCUAUAAGAAUUCUCUACAUGUUUUGUGACUAUAGAAUUUUCCGUAGGAUUUACAACACUUUGUCAACUUCUAUGUCCUCCUCCCCGUUGACAUGAUUUAUUUGUUCGGUCUUGAUCCAAAUGAACUAAAAUUCAGUAAUUAUAGUUCAUAAAGGUCGCUUAUUGAUAUCAAUUCGAAACACUGAAAUUAGAAUGAAGGAAAUAACAGCUGAAAGAAAAUGAUGGAAAUAUCAAAUUAACUAGGACUUGUAUGAAAGAACUGAGAUCCCCAUAUCAAUGCAUCAGAUAUGUUAUUCUCAGCCUCACACAAGUUCCCCUUAUUGUUCUUAAUUAAUAUCUCUUAGUUAUACUUGUUGGCAAUGUUGAGAAGAGUAGUAAAAAGUUGAAGGGGUUUAGACAUCAUGGUCAUGUGAUCAGAGCCUUGGAUCACUUCCACUUCAUCUGGUGGAUUCUUUUCAAUGAAUACUCUCCUAACUGAUUCGUACCUUGUUCUUGAAAGAACUAUAUCCUUAGAAAUAUCUUCCACAUGGUAUAAAUAAUAUGGCCUUAUUAGUGUUGUGGCCAGUGCCAAAUCCUAACACCAAGAAGGAAACAAAAACAUUUUAAAUCAGUUACAAGAUAUGUUGCGAUUAAGUAAUUGAAUAGAUCAGUAAUUUGGAUAAUUAAACUCUUAAAUCCUUCAAGUAGGUGAUGCCUUCAGCUACAGAGUAUAUUUAAUUCGUAUUAUAAUUUUCUUACCUAUUAGGACUCAGCUGGUAGAUAUUAGUUGCCAAGUACUUUGAGCAUAGGAUCAAGGUGGUUGGAGGGUUCGUAAGUCCAUUAUCAUAUGUAACACGAUUAUCAAGUUGACCUAUCACUGCACUGAAUGUCUAUAACGAAGUAUAGUUGGUUUCAAACAUGUAAAGGUUUAAACAAACAUAACAGAUUAUCUCAUGGCUCUAGUUGGGAAUAUGGAAAAUUGGUACCAGCUGAGUGUAGAGGGUGGCUGCAUUGAGAGUUGGACCAGGCAUUAGAGCAGUGACAAAUACAGCAACUGAAAUCUUUUCUGGGAAUAUUUCCAUGGCUUUAGAAAUGGGAAGUCCACCAAGGCUAUGGCCUACAAGAACUACUUUUUUAUUAGUAGGAGGAGAAGCUAGCAGACUCAAGUAAUCAGAAAAAUGCGUGAUUUCAAGUUUCGGGUUGAUUCCUGAAGAACCCAAGUCAAUAGCUGUGACAUUAUUUCCUGAAGAUGUCAUUAACGCCACAAUCUUGUACCAAGACCAGGCUCCAUGACAUCCCGUAUGAACAAGCACAGAAUGUUACUUAACUUUAGUCCCUGAGAAGGUUGCAUUUGCAUAUGGCAACACAACUAUUACAACUACUUGCUAGACUUGUUAAAAACUUGCUUUUCUCCAUAUCCUUUUUCCCUUCUGUUGACGAAAGAGCACAUAAUAUGAACCAUCACAAUAAGGAAGCUUUAUAGUUAGAGGAGUUCCGCUUCUGUUAACUUAGUUUCAUGCAGAAAAAAAUGCCAUAUCAAAUGACUGUUAUUUAAGGCAUUUCCUUUUAAAGAAGCUUUGACUUCUGCUA
Molecule: long non-coding RNA, 3239 nt
Organism: Solanum pennellii
Lineage: Eukaryota; Viridiplantae; Streptophyta; Magnoliopsida; Solanales; Solanaceae
Exons: 2
Source: RefSeq, a predicted model, not a curated record